This is a long non-coding RNA of Cyclopterus lumpus (lumpfish), 1373 nucleotides long. RefSeq lists it as uncharacterized. Lineage: Eukaryota; Metazoa; Chordata; Actinopteri; Perciformes; Cyclopteridae. The transcript is spliced from 4 exons. The record is from RefSeq and is a predicted model, not a curated record.
AUUGGGUUGAAACGCUCGUCGGUCGACUUCCGGUUUCAAACGGAGACGUCGUGUUGUGAAGGACCUCCGAUGAGGACUCGAGGUAGCUGCGCAGGGUCACACUUUUUUGGUAAAUCUGGUUUCAUGCUACUGGAGGAACGUAUGAGGCCGUUGUCAUGACACUGAGGAAAGUGGUGCUGCCGCUGUGGGCUCCUUCAGGGAGGACCUGUACAGACCCCCCGGAGCCCCGUCGCCCCCCAUCGACCUGAUGCGGCACGUCAGGCAUCACGGCUCUACAGGUGCUGGAAGCCGCUCCUCCACUACAAACCCCGGGGGAGGACCUCCUCCGACGUGUGGGAGAAGUGGUUCAUUCAGGACCCCUGUGAACACUUUUCUGUACCCAAUGAGUCUUCUUACCUCACUUCUUUCCAGGAGCUCUGCCAUGGAGCUGCCAUGCAUCAUCUCAGAUACCUGGCGACACACUGAGCUGAAGCCUGAUGACGUCAGCAGGUCCGUUUACAUGCAGCUCAAUUCACUUUAUCUGCAUACUAGAGGAUUUGACUGCACACAGCCCGUCAUUACUUCAUGGAAAAGUAGUUUUAUGCUAAACAUUUAUAUCCUUUAACAGUAUUCCAUUGUUAUCGCCGUGCAGCAAAGUAACAUUGCACAUUUUAUAACGCCUGUUUUUUAAAAUGGCAUUUUAUGCAGACCACUAAUCAAGCCACACUUCUACAGAAAUCUGUUUACACCAUCUUAUGCGUUAUAGAAAAGGUUUUAUAUUGCCUUGCAGGUGUAAAUAUUUUUCCUCUUGGCACAUGAAGUAAGUUAUCAAGUCUUGUUUUUGUAGAUUAUGCAAUAUUUCCUCGGUGUAAAAUAAGGUGCAGUGAAACUGUAGCAACAGCAUGAAACCACUUUUGGAAAAAUAUGACAAAUUAAGGUUUUAGAGGAUUUUAUUACAUUUAUAGUAUAUCGUCUAUAUACAGUAUUCUGCAUGAACACAAAAUGACCUCUGGACAUUUAAAACCCAGUCGAUAUAUACACACACCAUAGAUGAAGUCCAUGUCUGGGAACAGAGUCCUAGACAAACUACUACAUGAGGCUGAGGCAUGUCGUCUAGGAUCAGGUCUGGAAACUGUCCGUCUUCCAGAUUCAAAGUUUAAAAGGGAACGAACGCAGACCCCGAAACCUUUCAAACGGGACUCUGAGCCAUGAGGCGUUCAAGGCACCCGACACGGGUUCUUUACAUCAGCAUGUGCACGCUGAUAAAUGUGCGUCUGCACCAACUGCAGACAAAGCCAGCCGCGCUCAUUUGAAGUCGGUGUUGAAGUCGUAGGCGUCAGCUUCUCCGCCAGCGGGGACGGACUGGAAGUGCACACGGCCCGUUGGUCCUGGAA